This 255-nucleotide ribosomal RNA is filed under the name uncultured bacterium. Its description in RNAcentral is "partial small subunit ribosomal RNA". It matches the Rfam family "Bacterial small subunit ribosomal RNA", at positions 26 to 285 of the family's 1533-position model. The record is from RNAcentral.
AGGACGAACGCUGGCGGCGUGCUUAACACAUGCAAGUCGAACGGAAAGGCCCUUCGGGGUACUCGAGUGGCGAACGGGUGAGUAACACGUGGGUGAUCUGCCCUGCACUUUGGGAUAAGCCUGGGAAACUGGGUCUAAUACCGAAUAUGACCUCAGGAUGCAUGUCUUGUGGUGGAAAGCUUUUGCGGUGUGGGAUGGGCCCGCGGCCUAUCAGCUUGUUGGUGGGGUGAUGGCCUACCAAGGCGACGACGGGUA